Molecule: unclassified non-coding RNA, 529 nt
Filed under: Hevea brasiliensis (rubber tree)
Lineage: Eukaryota; Viridiplantae; Streptophyta; Magnoliopsida; Malpighiales; Euphorbiaceae
Source: RNAcentral
GAGUAAGAAGAGAGAGGCGCAGAAGAAGGCAGCAGCAGCUGCGAAGAGAGGAGGGAAGUCUAAGGCGGCGGUGAUGAAGGCGGCAGCGGCUGCAACAUCUACUCCGUCGGAGAGUAACGGUGUCGAUGAAUUGACGAAUGGUGUAGGAGAAAUUCAGUUGUCUGAUCGGACCUGUACCGGCGUUUUAUGUUCACAUCCACUUUCCAGGGAUAUUCGGAUAGAAUCGUUAUCACUUACUUUUCAUGGACAUGAUCUUAUAGUUGAUUCUGAACUGGAGCUUAACUACGGAAGACGUUAUGGUUUGCUUGGGCUUAAUGGCUGUGGGAAGUCUACUCUUCUUUCUGCUAUAGGAUGUCGUGAACUUCCCAUCCCAGAUCAUAUGGAUAUCUUUCAUCUAACGCGGGAGAUUGAAGCGUCUGACAUGUCCUCACUUCAAGCUGUUAUUAGUUGCGAUGAAGAGAGGUUGAGAUUGGAGAAAGAAGUUGAAGUCUUGGCUGCACAGGAUGAUGGUGGUGGAGAGCAACUUGAA